AUAGAGAAAGCUUGCUUUUUCUAGGCGUCGACCGGCGCACGGGUGAGUAACGCGUAUCCAACCUGCCCACCACUUGGGAAUAACCUUGCGAAAGUAAGACUAAUACCCAAUGAUAUCUCUAGAAGACAUCUGAAGGAGAUUAAAGAUUUAUCGGUGAUGGAUGGGGAUGCGUCUGAUUAGCUUGUUGGCGGGGUAACGGCCCACCAAGGCGACGAUCAGUAGGGGUUCUGAGGGGAAGGUCCCCCACAUUGGAACUGAGACACGGUCCAAACUCCUACGGGAGGCAGCAGUGAGGAAUAUUGGUCAAUGGGCGAGAGCCUGAACCAGCCAAGUAGCGUGCAGGAAGACGGCCCUAUGGGUUGUAAACUGCUUUUAUAAGGGAAUAAAGUGAGUCUCGUGAGGCUUUUUGCAUGUACCUUAUGAAUAAGGACCGGCUAAUUCCGUGCCAGCAGCCGCGGUAAUACGGAAGGUCCGGGCGUUAUCCGGAUUUAUUGGGUUUAAAGGGAGCGUAGGCCGGAGAUUAAGCGUGUUGUGAAAUGUAGAUGCUCAACGUCUGCACUGCAGCGCGAACUGGUUUCCUUGAGUACGCACAAAGUGGGCGGAAUUCGUGGUGUAGCGGUGAAAUGCUUAGAUAUCACGAAGAACGCCGAUUGCGAAGGCAGCUCACUGGAGCGCAACUGACGCUGAAGCUCGAAAGUGCGGGUAUCGAACAGGAUUAGAUACCCUGGUAGUCCGCACGGUAAACGAUGGAUGCCCGCUGUUGGCCUGAAUAGGUCAGCGGCCAAGCGAAAGCAUUAAGCAUCCCACCUGGGGAGUACGCCGGCAACGGUGCAACUCAAAUGAAUUGACGG
Molecule: ribosomal RNA, 851 nt
Filed under: uncultured Bacteroidota bacterium
Lineage: Bacteria; Pseudomonadati; Bacteroidota
Description: bacterial SSU rRNA
Rfam family: Bacterial small subunit ribosomal RNA
Source: RNAcentral